This 27-nucleotide non-coding RNA is filed under the name Homo sapiens (human). The record is from RNAcentral. Lineage: Eukaryota; Metazoa; Chordata; Mammalia; Primates; Hominidae.
UGUUCGAAGGGAUUGGGGAUGACAUGC